UAAUUUAUCUAUAAUAAAUUUUUAUUUAACUAUAAUAGAUUUACACUCACUAUUUAGAAUCAGCCAUCAAGAAAAGCUCGACUAAUAAUUGCAAGUCUAGUCGCCAACAAUGGAUGGACGGAUGGAUGAAUA
Populus trichocarpa (black cottonwood) is the source of this 132-nucleotide non-coding RNA. The record is from Rfam. NCBI's taxonomy places the organism in Eukaryota, Viridiplantae, Streptophyta, Magnoliopsida, Malpighiales, Salicaceae.